CCCUUAGAUGUUCUGGGCCGCACGCGCGCUACACUGAUGCAUUCAACGAGUCUAAAACCUGCUUUGAUAGGGGUGGGUAAUCUUUUGAAUGUGCAUCGUGAUUGGGAUAGAUGAUUGCAAUUUUUCAUCUUCAACGAGGAAUGCCUAGUAAACGCAAGUCAUCAGCUUGCAUUGAUUACGUCCCUGCCCUUUGUACACACCGCCCGUCGCUCCUACCGAUUGAAUGAUCCGAUGAAUAUCAUGGAUUGAGGAUGCAAGUAGGUUCGCCUAUCUUCAUCUUCGAGAAGUGAAGUAAAUCUUAUCAUUUAGAGGAAGGAGAAGUCGUAACA
RNAcentral lists this ribosomal RNA (329 nucleotides) under uncultured eukaryote. RNAcentral describes it as "partial 18S ribosomal RNA". It matches the Rfam family "Eukaryotic small subunit ribosomal RNA", at positions 1470 to 1796 of the family's 1831-position model. The record is from RNAcentral.